This 158-nucleotide ribosomal RNA is filed under the name Cladiella tuberculosa. Its description in RNAcentral is "partial 5.8S ribosomal RNA". It matches the Rfam family "5.8S ribosomal RNA". Rfam says of the family: 5.8S ribosomal RNA (5.8S rRNA) is a component of the large subunit of the eukaryotic ribosome. It is transcribed by RNA polymerase I as part of the 45S precursor that also contains 18S and 28S rRNA. Functionally, it is thought that 5.8S rRNA may be involved in ribosome translocation. Lineage: Eukaryota; Metazoa; Cnidaria; Anthozoa; Malacalcyonacea; Cladiellidae. The record is from RNAcentral.
GACAACUUUUGACGGUGGAUCUCUUGGCUCACGCAUCGAUGAAGAACGCAGCCAGCUGCGAUAAGUAGUGUGAAUUGCAGAAUUCAGUGAAUCAUCGAAUCUUUGAACGCAAAUGGCGCUCUUGGGUUCUCCCAGGAGCAUGUCUGUCUGAGUGUCGG